GUUGUGGCUCAGCGGUAGAGCGCUCGCCUGGCACAUUCAAGGCACUGAGUUCGAUUCUCAGCACAACA
Molecule: transfer RNA, 68 nt
Filed under: Marmota monax (woodchuck)
Lineage: Eukaryota; Metazoa; Chordata; Mammalia; Rodentia; Sciuridae
Description: tRNA.Ala
Source: RNAcentral